RNAcentral lists this ribosomal RNA (520 nucleotides) under uncultured bacterium. RNAcentral's name for it is "bacterial SSU rRNA". It matches the Rfam family "Bacterial small subunit ribosomal RNA", at positions 94 to 630 of the family's 1533-position model. The record is from RNAcentral.
AGUGGCGGACGGGUGAGUAACACAUGGGUGACCUACCUUCAAGUGAGGGAUACCGGCGAGAAAUCGCCGACAAGCCCGCAUAGGCUCUUCUUCGUUGUGGGAGGGGAGCAAAGCCCGCAAGGGUGCUUGGGGAUGGGCCUGUGGCCGAUUAGCUAGCUGGUGGGGUAAGAGCCUACCAGGGCGACGAUCGGUAGCUGGUCUGAGAGGACGAACAGCCCCCCUGGGAUUGAGAACGGCCCAGACUCCUACGGGGGGCAGCAGCGAGGAAUUUUCGGCAAUGGGGGCAACCCUGACCGAGCAACGCCGCGUGCAGGAGGACGCUUUUCGGAGUGUAAACUGCUUUUCUGUGGGACGAGAUAAGGACGGUACCACAGGAAGAAGCCCCGGCUAACUACGUUUCCCCCCGCCGGGAAUACGUAGGGGACGAGCGUUGUCCGGAGUUACUGGGCGUAAAGGGCAUGCGGGCGGUGAGGCGCGUUUUCUGUGACAGCGGAGGGCUUAACUCUCCGAGCAUAGGAAA